CGUCCCUUGGCAGCUCUGUGGAAUGUCUGUUUAUGCGACUUGUAGUUAAUUUGCAAGUAGGUCGAGAGAGCUAGUUCCGUGCGGUCAGGACCACAGAUGUGACUAAACUGCCCAAGGCCACCACCAGAGCUCCGAGCAGAAACUUCCAAGAAAUUCCCUGAAAGAGGGCCAGGCAGCCAAUGCAGGCUUGAUUCCAGUCAUGUCACCCCUUUGCUUCUCUCUUAUCGUGUCUUGAGAUGUCUUGCACAGCUGG
Long non-coding RNA from Cyprinus carpio carpio, 253 nucleotides. Lineage: Eukaryota; Metazoa; Chordata; Actinopteri; Cypriniformes; Cyprinidae. The record is from Ensembl.